UUGAUCCUGGCUCAGAAUCAACGCUGGCGGCGUGCCUAACACAUGCAAGUCGAACGCGAAAGUCCCGCAAGGGAUGAGUAGAGUGGCAAACGGGUGAGUUACACGUGGGUGACCUGCCUUCGAGCGGGGGAUAACGUCCCGAAAGGGACUCUAAUACCGCAUGACAUCCUGCCUUUGAACAGGCGGAGAUCAAAGCUGGUGAUCGCAAGACCUAGCACUCGAUGAGGGGCCCGCGCCUGAUUAGCUAGUUGGUGAGGUAACGGCUCACCAAGGCUACGAUCAGUAUCCGGCCUGAGAGGUCGGACGGACACACUGGGACUGAGACACGGCCCAGACUCCUACGGGAGGCUGCAGUGGGGAAUUGUUCGCAAUGGGCGCAAGCCUGACGACGCAACGCCGUGUGGAGGAUGAAGACCUUCGGGUCGUAAACUCCUUUCGAUCGAGACGAAUGGCCUCCGGGUGAACAAUCCGGAGGAGUGACGGUACCGAGAGAAGAAGCUCCGGCUAACUCCGUGCCAGCAGCCGCGGUAAUAAGGU
This 537-nucleotide ribosomal RNA is filed under the name uncultured Acidobacteriota bacterium. Its description in RNAcentral is "bacterial SSU rRNA". It matches the Rfam family "Bacterial small subunit ribosomal RNA", at positions 13 to 529 of the family's 1533-position model. Lineage: Bacteria; Pseudomonadati; Acidobacteriota. The record is from RNAcentral.